AUUAUUGGAAAAUUUCAUUUACCUAUACAUAUAUGGGUAACUUGAUUUACCCAUAUUUGGAUGAAAAAUAAAACAUUUCAAAAUUGAUACUUGACAAUAAAUAUCAAUUUUCUUCCGUGAUAUUUUCCUGACAUAGAGUGUGUAAUUUUAACAAAAAAUAGUUCCAUUAUAUGCUAAAAAAAAGUUUAUACGUUCGCUUGAGUUAUUGCUGCAGUCGUUCCCAGAAGAUUGAGAACGAAAACGGCAAAAAACAUAUCGAUAUGGAAAAAAGACUCUUUAAACUGGUGUUGGCAGAAGCCGAAGAAAUGCGUGAUCUAUAUGUUGUUUACUAUAUCGAUUAUGUUGAGGCAACUUUUUCGGAACUGCACAUACACAGCGAUUUGUUUCCCUGAUGCAUCAGGGAAAAUUUCCGAAUAGCAUCAAACCCGCGUCGAUUUUACCGACCUGUACGUACACCGGACCGGUGAAUGCAAGCUCAUCUGGAGAUCUUUACAAGCAGAGCUAGCGAUAAAAGAGCUACAAACUGAUUAAAGCGCUGUGGACGCAGAAUGCCGAAAAUACGAAUCUUCUCCGGAACCUGAGUGUUUGCAUGCAGUAAGAGGAGCUACAGGUUGUUUCCGAGAGAGCACACCGUUUUGGACCACACAGAAAAAGGAGGAAAUCUAAAAAGUAAAUCGUGAUACGUGAAGCUUGCCUAACCCGUCGUGUUUUCAUAGUUCAUCAAUUCCAUCUGGGAUGAGAUCGGCACUUAUUCGGCAUACCAGCCGAUCUGCUAAAAUCCGGAACUUAAACGAAAGCAUCAUCUGUAGAGGCGUGGAAAUCCUUUGCGUAGUGGGUCUUCAAGCGGAUCCGGCAGUAUAGCAGCGGUGGCGUAAUUCCCAUUAUUCUGUCAUCAAACAGGGUGAA
Long non-coding RNA from Armigeres subalbatus, 906 nucleotides. RefSeq lists it as uncharacterized. Lineage: Eukaryota; Metazoa; Arthropoda; Insecta; Diptera; Culicidae. The transcript has 3 exons. The record is from RefSeq and is a predicted model, not a curated record.